UAUUUUGGAACAAAUUGAAUGACAAUGGACAACAAGAGAAGAACAUUUUUACGACAGUGGAAAUUGUGUGAGAGUGUGGUGAUUUUUUUAGUUGUUGUUUUAUCAAGUGUAAUUAAAAGUGAUGCUGUGAUAGUUUCGGCAACUGGUGGACCACCGAAACGUUGGUCGAGCUUAAACGCUAGUAUUUUAUCAAGUGAUAUUAACAGACGAAUAGUCAAAUUUGGUGUUAUAGCUCCUGCUGAUUCACACCAUGAACAAAGUUUACCUAGGAUUUUGCCAGCAGUUGAAUUAGCUGUAAAAGCUGUGAGCUCACCAAAAGGCCCUCUACCAGGAUGGAACAUUUUUAUUUCUUAUCGUGAUUCGAAGUGUUCUAGCACAUAUGGUUCUUUAGCUGCCUUUGAUUUUUACAUCAAUAGAACAGCAGACGCAUUUUUGGGUCCUAUUUGUGAUUAUGCGAUUGCUCCGGUGGCUCGUUAUGCUGGCGUUUGGGGAAUCCCCGUAUUGACAACUGGAGGCCAAGCAGAUGCAUUUCGCCACAAAGGGGAGCAUUAUCCAACUCUAACACGAAUGAUGGGAUCGCAUCGUCUCGUUGGCGAAGCUCUACGGCACAUUCUCCAGGGUUUCGGUUGGACUACUGCGGCCCUCAUUUACCACAAUCAUGCUAUGGAGAGUAGUAAAGGCCAUUCUGAGUGUCACUUCACUCUCAGUGCGGUAUUUUCAGCUCUUAACAAGACCUCCGUACACAAGAGCUUCAAUCAAGAGACCAACAAUAUAAAUGACUACCGGAAUCUCCUCACAUUCGUCUCUCAAUCAGCUCGAAUUGUUGUAAUGUGUGCAAAUUCAACCACAGUACGAGAGAUACUUUUAGCUGCUGAAGAACUUGGAAUGGUUGAUUCAGGGGAAUACGUAUUUUUCUCUAUAGAACUUUCCUCAAGUGACAAUAAUUCAAAAGAACCUUGGAGAAUGGAAGGAGACACUGAUGAGCGUAAUGAGAAAGCAAGGAAAGCAUAUCAAGCUUUAUUAACAGUAACAGCUCGUACACCAGACAAUGAGGAAUAUUUGAAUUUCUCCCGCGAAGUUAAGUCACUUGCACAAAGAAAGUACAACUACACAUUUGGGAAUAGUUCACUGUCAACAUUUGUAGCAGCUUUUUAUGAUGCUGUAUUUCUUUUUGCUCUUGCGUUGAAGGAAAGUCUUCCAGAAAUACCAGAAGAAGUCAACUUGGAUGGUGGAAAUUUAACAAGAAGAAUGUGGGGUAAAAGUUUUAAAGGCAUCACAGGAGACGUAAAUAUUGAUGAGAACGGUGAUAGAAUAGCGGAUUAUUCAUUACUAGACAUGGAUCCAAUAACAUCUAAAUUUGAGAUUGUGGCGAAUUACUACGGAGCAAACAAAACCUUGGAAUACGUACCAGGUAAGCGAAUUCAUUGGUCUGGUGGGAGGUUGGAGCCACCUCCUGAUACACCAAAAUGUGGUUACGAUGGCUCUUUAUGUCCAGAUAACACUUUGCCGGGCUAUGCUAUCCUGUCCAUUGUUCUCAGUUCUAUUGUCGUUGGACUCGUAGUGGCUUCAGUCAUCAUCUACAGACACUACAAACUAGAAGCAGAAAUCGCGUCCAUGACGUGGAAAGUACAUUGGGAAGACGUAUUAGUAGUUCCUGUCGGUGGAAGAACUAGGGGUUCGAUGCAUUCUCUUGCUCCGAAUAAACAACGUGGUAGUCAGUUGACAAUCUAUUGGGAUGAUGAUGUAAGCUUGCCUGGUGGUGUAGAUAGAAAUGUAUAUAUACCUACAGGAAUUUAUAAGAAUUCACAAGUAGCAAUAAAACCGCUCCCUCGGAAUAAAGUUGAGAUCUCAAGGCCACUUUUAUUGGAACUAAAAAGAAUGAAGGACCUUCAGCAUGAUCACUUGGUACGAUUUUAUGGUGCUUGCGUCGAGCCACCUCACUGCUGUCUUCUUACUGAGUACUGUCCUAAGGGAUCACUACAGGAUAUCUUGGAGAACGAUCAGAUUAAAUUGGAUCGAGUUUUCCGAGGUUCUUUGAUCCAUGAUAUUGUAAGGGGUAUGGCAUAUCUUCAUGCAUCUGAAGUCAAAAGCCAUGGCAACUUAAAGUCUUCCAACUGUGUUGUGGACUCUAGAUUUGUUCUAAAAAUUACGGAUUUUGGAUUACACGAAUUAAGAAAACCCAGUCCUGGAGAUUCUGAUGAUGACAUGGAUAGUUAUGCUCAUUGGAAAAAACAACUUUGGACAGCACCAGAACUGUUGAGAAUGGAGAGACGACCGCCUGAGGGUACUCAAAAAGGAGAUGUCUAUAGCUUCGCUAUAAUCGUACAUGAGAUCGUGGUACGCCAAGGACCAUUUUACUUAGGAGAAGACAGCAAUUACUCCCCAAGGGAAAUCGUCGAGGGAGUCAGAAGAGGAGGAGGAUCUCCAUUAAGACCUUCGCUUGAUGAGGCAGCAGUAGAGGAAGAAGUAGCUACUUUGAUGAGGCGUUGCUGGGCACAAGAUUCUGCAGAUCGACCAGAUUUCCCUGCAUUGAAGCAAACGAUUAGGAAAAUCAACAAAGACUAUGAGAGCAGUAACAUUCUGGAUAACUUGCUUUCGCGCAUGGAGCAAUAUGCAAAUAACUUGGAAUCACUGGUCGCUGAACGUACAGCUGAUUAUCUCGAGGAGAAACGUAAAUGUGAAGAGUUGCUAUAUCAGCUUUUGCCAAAGUCGGUAGCUUCCCAGUUAAUUCUUGGGCAAAGUGUCAUUGCUGAAACUUACGAUGAAGUUACAAUUUACUUUAGUGACAUAGUGGGUUUCACCAGUCUCUCAGCUGAAAGUACACCUCUGCAGGUGGUGGACCUUCUCAAUGACCUCUACACAUGUUUCGAUUCAAUUAUUGAGAACUUUGAUGUCUAUAAGGGCCAUGCGUAGCUGGAGUUGUUGGACUUAAAAUGCCUAGGUACUGUCUCUUUGGAGAUACAGUUAACACUGCAUCAAGGAUGGAGAGCAAUGGAGAAGCUUUGAAAAUCCACGUCAGCCCUAAGACUAAAGAAAUACUGGAUACUUUU
Molecule: unclassified non-coding RNA, 3050 nt
Filed under: Chelonus insularis
Lineage: Eukaryota; Metazoa; Arthropoda; Insecta; Hymenoptera; Braconidae
Description: atrial natriuretic peptide receptor 1-like, transcript variant X1
Source: RNAcentral